GGGUCCAGCUCAUUUCAUUUAGUAUAAUGUCGUCCAAAUUUAUCAAAUUGUUGCAAAUGGCAAGACUUCCCUUUUCAAGGCUGGAUAAUAUUCCAUUGUUGUAUUUUUUUAGGUCUGUCCAUUUAGUCUAAAUUUUAAAUUUAUUUAUUUACUUGAGAUAGAGUGAACGAGUACAUGAGUGGAGGGAGGGUGAGAGGCAGAGAGAGAGAGAGAGAGAGAGAGAAUCUCAAGCAGAGUCCAUGCUCAGCACAAUGUCCAACACAGGGCUCAAUCUCAUGACCCAAGAGAUCAUGACCUGAAUCAAAACAAUAGUUGGAUGCUUAACCAACUGAGCCAUCCUGAUGCCCUUAUUUUGUUUAAAUUUAAAAAUUUAGAGCAAAAUUAUGCAUGAUAUCCUCUUGGUGUGUUAGUGUUUACAGUUUCUGAUAUACAUUCUUUUGAGUGCUAUUUCUCUCUCUUUCUGAUUCUCCAGAAAUUUUACUGAAUGUUACCUAGAAGUGAUUAUCUUUUCUCAUUUUGUUUGGCAUUCAUAAGGUCUCUGUGAUUUGUUAUAUGUUGUGAUCAGUUCUGGAAAAUUCUUGAGAAUUAUGUCUUUCAAAUAUUGUUUCUGCUUCAUUUUCUCUAUCCCUUUCUGGGACUGCAGUUACAUAUGUAUUUGAUCAUCUUGCUUUGUCCCGUUUAUCUCUUCUGUAUUUAACAUAUUUUAUUUCUCUUUGCUUCAUUCUGGAAAUUUCUUACUAACCUAUUUCAAGUUCUUUAAUUAUUUCCUUAGUAUGUCCAUUUUAUUAUUAAACCAAUCUAUUACAUUUCUAACUUUAAUGUUUUUUAAGUUCUGGAAUAUUCAUUUAACUAUGGACAUUUUUUUCUUGCAGGCUUCCAAAAUUUUUAAUCUUAUCAAUUAUCCCCCAGAAUAUAAUAAAAAUGAUUGUUUAAACUCAAAAACACCUAAAGGUACUAGGUAUCCAGAACUACUUUAAUUCAGUUUGAAGUUUGAGAUGAUUUGAAAUUAAGCAUCAGUUUGUAGAAGAGCUACACUACACAUUGCUCACCCAAGUUUUCCCUCUAGUCUUAAGAGAAAUAAGACUGACUGCUUAGAGUCUAAAACACUGAGCUACCUCUUUCAGAGUAAGCCAAUGUUCCUCAGGAGAGAGUGGCAACAAACACCAGCCAUCUUUAGAUAUUUACCCUUCAAAUCUUGACCUUGUAACUUUUCAUGGCUUUGUCAGCUCUACAUGUUUUUAAGCAAUUUUUUUAUUUCAUCCAGUUUUUUAAAGCUGUGUUCAACUAUGAAAAUAGGGUCAAAUGACCUAAUCUGUUAUAACCAAAACUGUAAAUUUGAAUCAUUUUAAAACUCUCUAAACAAUAACAUCAAGACAAAAGAUCUUUAUAAACCUUUCUAAUUUUCAGAUGAUACAUUUCUAAUAAAUGGAAAAAAAUAUUUCUACAGAAUGGAAAAAGCAUGAAUUUUUUGAAUAAAAUUUUAAAAAUUUUCAUCAAAUAACUCAGAGGCUACUUUAAAGUGAUAGCUUUUUCCCUGUUUACAAAGAUGCAUAUUAAAAUACAACUAAAUAUCAAUAUAAAGUUGUACCUCUUUGCUUUAUUAGGUCUUGAGGCCUAAAUUGUCAAUGUAGCAACAGAACAAUAAAAAACCUUGUAGUUUUAAGUAGGCUCCAUGGGACUUAAACUCACAACCCUAAGAAGACCUGUGCUAAAAUUAAGAGUGGAAGCUUAACUGCCACUCAGGUGCCCCACGAAAAUUUUUAUGUAAAUUGCAGGGGAUCCCUGGGUGGCUCAGUGGUUUAGCACCUGCCUUUUGCCCAGGCUGUGAUCCUAGAGUCUCGGGAUCAAGUCCCACAUCAGGCUCCGUGCAUGGAGCCUGGUUUUCUCCUUGCCUUUGUCUCUUUCUCUGUGUCUCUCAUGAACAAAUAAAUAAAACCUUAAAAAAAAAAAAGAAAAAAAUAAUGUAAAUUGCAUACAUUAAAAAUAUUGCAGUCAUGUGCCCAAAUGUAUCUGUAAACAUAACUUCUUUGUAAUAUCUAUAAUACACACAUUUUAAAUAUUACAUAUUUAUUAAUAAUUUUCUAGUCUCUCUGUGUCUGCCUAAAAGCUCUAGUAGUCACUAAAAUUCAUGAACUAAAAAAGUCUGAGGUUUUCCAUAUUCAAGUGUCAGAAUCAUGUGAGAGUAUAAGCCUCAAUCAUUAUCCUUUCCAAGGUAUCUGGUGUGUCCUUGUUGUCUUUUGAGACAAUAACUAAAUAGGGAUUAACCUUUGCAAAGUAUAUAGUCCUUUUAUGGUUCAUAGAAAAAUCACCUCUGGUUGUGUUCAAUUCCAUCUUGGUCACCAACAUACUGAGUCAAGCUGUGUUUAGUAAUAUACUCAGUGGCCCCGGCCUAUUGGACAAAGUUCCUAUGUUAGGAUUUGGUAAAAAGGCCAUACUUGGAGAAAUGAUGCUCAGCGUCUUUCACUUGUGGCUCUAGCCCUUGAAAGGAAAGGUAUUGUUUCCUCUUUCUCUUUCAAUGUCUAGGUUCUCUUUUUCCUUUUUUUUCUAAUCAGUCACUCCAUGUUCUCUUCUAUAUGCAGGUCCACUCUUAUCUUAGGCUGCUCUGUAAGCAUAUGGCUGAAUCUUUCAUACUUAAAUGUAAACCUUUGUUUCUACUUAUCUACAAACAUACUGAAGGGAAUAACAUGGCUUUGGAAGAUAAUAUGAAGAAGGUGAGGAAAAAAACAGAAAACACAUAUUAAUAUUUAGAGAUAUAAUCCCAUCAUGGACCAUAUCAUAUUUAUGCACCUAAAAAUCAAAAAGACAGAAAAAUAACCUUAAUUUUAUGCUUUUCUGUGCCAGACAACAUAGAAAAGGUAUUCACAUUUGUAAGAACCACAGUCUGUUAAGACAGAUGUUUAUAGAUGAGGAAACUAAACUUCAGCGAAAUUCAUUGAUUUGCCAAUGUCAUGUAGUAAGUAAGAGAAACAGUCAUGUUUUAAAUCCAGGUCUUGCUGGCUUCUAAGCAACCUCUUUCUUCUAUUUCAUUCUUAUACUUCUGUAGGAGAUAUAAAAAUCCACAUGUCUUAAUCUUUGCCUUUUCUCAUUUUAGAUGUUAUAUAUGACUUCCUUCUCACAGACUAAAAUAAUUCUCUACUGGCCCAAAAAACUGAAGAUAAAAAUUUUCCACAGGCAAUUAGUUAAUCUAUAAAAAAUUCAAUAAAUAUUAGGUAUUUAAAUUGGGUUACAUUAGGACUCUUUUUUCUUAUCCUAUUCCCUAUGAUCCAGCUAUAAGAAGGCUAAAUAUGGGUUGGUCCUUCUCCUAAUCCACUAUGUCCAUCAUUUCAAAUGAUUACCUUCACCAGCAUACCUAAGUUGCUGUAUAGAUGUUAUUUAAAUAGGAUUGUUGGACAAGUAAGAAGAGAAAGUCUUGUGUAAAGGAAUGAGCUAAUAAAGAAGAAUACUGAUCAUAUUUACAUUAAUAAGCAUUGAUUAUUGGCCAGGCAAUUUCCAGAAAGCUAUAUGUGUAUUACCUAAUUAGUAAUGAUAUAGGUCAUUAAAUCUUUGCCUUAAUUUCAAGAAAUAGGUAUCAUAGUGUUUUCACUUUAUAGAUGAUAAUAAAAAAUGGAAAAGGCAGAAGAGUAGUUUUCCUGUUGUGACAACUUUAAGUAGUUUAAAAUUUUAAUUUGGCUACUUUCCAAUUUUAAUUGUUUGUGCUUUAGAUGAGCGCUUCCAAAACCUCAGGGUACACCUGAAUCAUCUGGGGAUCUUAUUAAAAUGCAGGUUCUGAUUACCAGGUGGGAUCUGAGAUUCUGUAUGCAAACACACUCCCCCAGACUGUACUUUGAAAAACAAAGCUUUUUGGAUUACUGAUUUUUCCAUCAAAGUGUCAUUCGUAAAGGGCUGACUUUAUAACAGUUGAAAAUUAACUGAGUAUUAACAUUUAGUUUAUUAAAUAAAUGUUGAUGACCAGAUAUAUUCCUAAAUCAAAAGACUGUUUUCACAAAGGCAAAUGUUCAAUGUAGACAGAAAAAUUUAAGAGGACAUAACUCCAUUUCCCCCUCCCUUGGUAUGUUUUAUAUGUACAAAAAGUACACUGGCAUAUGUACCCUAUCUCAAUAAAAAUGGUCAUUGUUUAUAAAACAUUUACUAUGUGCCUCAGACUAUUCUAAGAGCUUUAAGUAAGUAUAUUAUUUUAUUCAGUGCUGUAAGUAAUAUGAACUGCUAUUAUUAUCCGAAUUUUAUAGAGAGAGGAAUAGAAGCAACAACAGUUUAACUGCCCAAUGUUGCAAGCACUGACUAAUUUCAGGGUUUUCUGAUUCAAUCUUAAUUUUGCAUUUCAUGUCAUCUCUCUGAAUUUUGCCUUAUACCACUCUCACUGUGUAUUCGUGCUCUGUACUUUGCCUCCGAUGUGAAGCCUAGAGAUCCUGCAGAAUUAGUAUCCAGGCUUGGAGGUCAAGGUGAGGGUUUUACAGUGUAGAUUCAGACAAAGAAAAGAACUAGCAUUCUGCAGGAACAGAAUCAAAGUCAUAGGCUCAGACAGGAUUAUGUCCUAUCUAAGGUGACAGCUAAGAAUGCCUUGGCAAAGGUUCAAAGAAGCAAAAAUAAAAAUAAAAAUAAAAGAAUGAGUGACAGAAACAGAAUAUGGCCGAAUCCAGAGUGCAGAAAGGUCGAGUACAUGAAGUUGGUUAUAAUAAGAAUCAAGACACAAAUAAUAGAGUAUCGGUGGCCCGUGUGAACUGGCUGCUGACUCUGUAAUCCAACAGCACACCUGAUGAUUGAUAACAGACUAUAAAAGAAUAGAUAAUUAUGAACUCUGUACUUCAUGACUAUGAAUCUGGCUUUCUAUCCUAUCAAUAUCUCCAGGGACUGGCUUGACGUUCUGGCUUUAUACAAAUGCUGGUCAAUGUUCCCAAUCAGACACUGCCCUAUGAACUACUGAGUUGGUUCUAGCCUUGUCUUAGCUCUCUACAAUCACGAAUUUAGUGGCUUUAAAUGCUAAACAAUGUAUUACUUUACAGUUUUAUAGGUCAGAACUCUGGUGGGAUCUAGAGUCAGAUUCCUUUUUCUUGCUCAUUCAGGUUGUUAGCAGAGUUCAGUUCCCUUCAGUUGUAGAAUUAAGGUAUCAAUUGCUUUGCUGUUUGUCAGCGGAGGGCCAUUCCAAGCUUCUGGAGAUUACCUGCAUUCCUUGGCGCAUAGCCACUGUCUUUCAUCUUCAAAGCCAGUAACAGCAGAUAGAAUUAGUCUCAUGCCUCUUCUUUUGUCCUAGCUCUGUCUCUCUAUAUACCUGGACCUUGCCAGGAAAAAGUGUUGCUUUUAAGGACUUAAUGUGAUUAGAUUGGGCCCACCUGAGUAAUCCAGGCUACCCUCCCCAUUCCAAGGUCUGUAAUCUUAAUCACACCUGCAAAACUCCCUUUUUACUGUACAAGUUCGUGUAUUCAUAGGUUGCAAGAAUUAAGACAUGAACAUUUUUGGGAGACAAUUAUUCUAACAGAAGCCUACUAUGUAACAUUGGCUUAUUUUAGUUGGGUUUAUUAGUUGCAAAAAGAGAAUAAACUAGGUACAUUGGAGUAGGAAUUCAUUAGAUGAGAUAAACUAGACCUCGGAAGUCCCAGGAGGGCCAGACAACUGAGUUUAUAGAGUAAGCCAACAGAAACAAUAUCCAAACCACACCACCAAACUACUCACAGGUCUGAUUCUAACAGAGGCAUUUUAAACCAUGAACAUGAAUUCUUACCCUUGGCAAUCCUGUCACAGGUGCUUCUCAGACUCAAUGUCUUUGCCAAACCCUGCCAUACUCACCAGGUAUGAUUUCCUUCAAAAAAAAAAAAAAAAAAAAAA
This 5820-nucleotide long non-coding RNA is filed under the name Canis lupus familiaris (dog). RNAcentral's name for it is "lncRNA (ENSCAFG00845018312.1)". The record is from RNAcentral. Lineage: Eukaryota; Metazoa; Chordata; Mammalia; Carnivora; Canidae.